UUGCCUUGACUAAGAAUUCAACAUAAUGU
Molecule: non-coding RNA, 29 nt
Filed under: Rattus norvegicus (Norway rat)
Lineage: Eukaryota; Metazoa; Chordata; Mammalia; Rodentia; Muridae
Source: RNAcentral